Molecule: ribosomal RNA, 1356 nt
Filed under: Triticum aestivum (bread wheat)
Lineage: Eukaryota; Viridiplantae; Streptophyta; Magnoliopsida; Poales; Poaceae
Description: partial small subunit ribosomal RNA
Source: RNAcentral
AUGGCAUACCGGAUCCCCAAGCUAGAGGAGCUCCUCGAGGUGCGCAAGCUGCCGAGGAGCAUCAGGAAAGACAUCUCGUUUGCCUUCCGACAGAUACAGAGCGUGCACGCUGCCCUCUGCAAGGUGGCAGAGGUGCCACGGGACCAGCUUGACGAGGAUGUGAAGCUCUGGGCAGAGGAGGCCAGGAUGGUGUACUACAACAUAGAGGUAGCCGUCGACAAGCUCCUGAUGCUCGCCCCCAACUCAGGCGGCUUAAAGGGGCUCAUGGAGAGCAUGGUCAGCUUCCUCACGAAAGGCAAGACUAGCCAUCAGAUCAUCGCCAGCAUCAUCAUGGACAUCAAGGCUCAACUCAGAAAUCUGGAAUUAAGGAGGGGGGAGUCAAAAAACACUUUAGGGAUUUUUGAUAUUUUUGAUAAUCCUGCAGCAAUGAAGAGUGUCGAUCCUCAUCUUGUGGAUCUGUACGAGCAUGGAGCCAAUGAUGUGGCAACGGGCGCCAUUGCCUGCAUGCUCCCCAAGCUAGUCCGGCUCCUCAACAAGGAGUACAAGCUGCAGGCAAUCAUCAACAACGAUGUCAAGUAUAUCUCUCAGGAGAUGGAGAAGAUGCAGGCUGCCCUCCUCAAGGUGGCAGAGGAGCCACGGGAGUUCAUCCGCGAGGAGUGCUGGCUCUGUGCAGGGGAGGUCAGGAAACUGUCCUACGACAUGGAGGCUGAAGUUGACAAGCUGCUGGUGCUCGCCCCCAUCUCGGGCGGCUUUAAGGGGCUCAUGGAGAACAUGGUCAGCUUCCUCCAGAAAGGCAAGACUCGCCAUCAGAUCAUCGUCAGCAUCAUCAAGGACAUCAAGAUUCAAGUCAGACACGCAGCCGACCGGUACGGGCAUUAUCUUUAUCGUUUUGACAGUUUAACAGUUCCAAGUAUCGAUUCUCGCAUGCUAGCUAUGUACAAAGAUAUGGCAGAUCUUGUCGAUGUUGAUGGGGGAAAUUAUCAAGAGCUCAUGAAAUUAUUGUCAGAUGGGAAUGAUGUGCUCAAUACAAUGCUGAAGAUAUUCUCAGUUGUUGGAUUUGGAGGAUUGGGUAAAACCACUCUUGUCAAAACAGUGUAUGACAAGAUCCGAAGGGAUUUUGACUGCACGGUUUUUGUUUCAGCUGGUCAGAGUCCUGACUUGAAGAGAAUUUUGAUGGAUAUAAGUAUUGGUCUCAUUUUUGAAAGAGAUCACGAGGUCCUCGACGCAUUAAAUGUGCCACAGCUCAUCGAUAAACUUCAAAAAUUCCUUGACAACAAGAGGUACCUCAUCGUGAUAGAUGACAUAUGGAAUGAAAAUCUGUGGGAAAAUAUCAAAAAUGUGGCGGGGUGCCUCUAG